CAUGUCCUUAGCAAAUAUUUUAUUUCAGAUGACUAUAGGUAUAAUAUAAUUACUUGUAAAGAAAUCAAAAGGAAACAGAAACAAGAUGUAGAGCCACAAGUGACCCCUUUGCCAAGCUGUCAGCUUUAUUAUAUCAAUAGGUUACAGUAGAUCACUGGCAUCAUUAGUACAUUAUUAUUCAUUGCAUCAUUAGGCAGGUACAGAGUUAACAACAUUAUUCAGCAUGUUCCUCAGUUAUACACUAAGACACAAUGUACAAUGUUAGAAGCCUGUGUAGCUCUCAAGAAAGUCCAUUGUUUGAAGUUAAUGUUAUGCAAACAGGUUUAGGAGGAGCAGAACUUGGUGAAACAUUGUGGUUGUGUAACAAGAGAGCUGCUUUACGCCCAGGAGCUGAGUGUCUGAAAUCAAGUUCAAUGCUGACAAGACUCUAGCUCUAAUGAGAGAAGAAGAAAAUUUGGCUAUUAGUGAGAGAAGAGUAAAGGAGAAGCAAUAAGAGGAAUAAAAAAGGUACAAACAACAAAUAUAAGAUAAUAAC
RNAcentral lists this long non-coding RNA (535 nucleotides) under Marmota monax (woodchuck). Lineage: Eukaryota; Metazoa; Chordata; Mammalia; Rodentia; Sciuridae. The record is from RNAcentral.